This 253-nucleotide ribosomal RNA is filed under the name uncultured bacterium. Its description in RNAcentral is "partial 16S ribosomal RNA". It matches the Rfam family "Archaeal small subunit ribosomal RNA", at positions 474 to 727 of the family's 1478-position model. The record is from RNAcentral.
UACCAGCACCCCGAGUGGUCGGGACGAUUAUUGGGCCUAAAGCAUCCGUAGCCGGUUCUACAAGUCUUCCGUUAAAUCCAACUGCUUAACAGGUGGGCUGCGGAAGAUACUAUAGAGCUAGGAGGCGGGAGAGGCAAGCGGUACUCGAUGGGUAGGGGUAAAAUUCGUUGAUCCAUUGAAGACCACCAGUGGCGAAGGCGGCUUGCCAGAACGCGCUCGACGGUGAGGGAUGAAAGCUGGGGGAGCAAACCGG